CCUUGUACACACCGCCCGUCGCGGCAUGGGAGUUGGUUUUACCCGAAGACGGUGCGCUAACCGCAAGGAGGCAGCCGGCCACGGUAGGAUCAGCGACUGGGCCG
Molecule: ribosomal RNA, 104 nt
Filed under: uncultured bacterium
Lineage: Bacteria
Description: partial 16S ribosomal RNA
Rfam family: Bacterial small subunit ribosomal RNA
Source: RNAcentral